RNAcentral lists this ribosomal RNA (532 nucleotides) under uncultured microeukaryote. RNAcentral describes it as "SSU rRNA". It matches the Rfam family "Eukaryotic small subunit ribosomal RNA", at positions 15 to 549 of the family's 1831-position model. The record is from RNAcentral.
CGCCAGUGGAAUAUCGCUCGUUUCAAAGAUUAAGCCAUGCAUCGUCUGAGCAUGCGCUGAAGUAAAGUGAAGCCGCGAAUAGCUCAUUACAACAGCCGUUGUUUCUUGGAUCUCUUCUCUACUUGGAUAACUGUGGUAAUUCUAGAGCUAAUACAUGCAAUCAAGCCCUGAUCGUGAGUGACGGGCGCAUUUAUUAGAACAAGACCAUCUGGCUUCGUGCCAUAUGUUGGUGACUCUGAAUAACUGAGCCGAUCGCACGGGCUCGUCCCGGCGACGUAUCUUUCAAGUGUCUGCCUUAUCAGGUUUCGUUGGCGGUUUAUGUGACCGCCAAGCCUGUAACGGGUAACGGAGGAUCAGGGUCUGACUCCGGAGAGGGAGCCUGAGAAACGGCUACCACUUCUAAGGAAGGCAGCAGGCGCGCAAAUUACCCAUUCUUGGCUCAAGGAGGUAGUGACGAAAAAUACCAAGGUGAGGCUCAUUGAGCUUCACCAUUGGAAUGAGAACAAUCUAAAUCCUUUAACGAGGAUCUAGU